UAUGAAUGAUGAUGAAGGCUGUAGGCUGUGAGUUCAUCAGGUUAUGGAAGUGAAAAUGAAUGGCCACGUUUCUCUUGAUGCAGAAUGUUGAGGCUCCUCUCAGUUUGACUAGUUGUUUGAACUUUAUUUGCAUCGAGUGCCUGGAAGUCUUGGAAAUCUGCUGGAUUUCAGAGCCAAAAUGAUUUGAUGAUCUUGUCAUUCGAGCUCGUCGCCACGUGCGUGUGGAAGUGUCUCAAACAGCUGGAUGGUAGGCCUACUAAGGUCGAAAUGUGCUUUCUACACGUGGAAGAGGCAUACCCCCAAGCACCCACCCCAACAAAAUCCGCCAUCAGAUUCUGCUACGACAUCUGAUACAAGGACAACGUGCACGUGCCAGUCCACACCAGCCGAGUUGCGGAUGAGGCCGUGCGUGAGUGUGGUUAUGAAACUCGAGAUCCCAUCACCUAUUAAUAAUUAUGUUCUUCUGAACCAAUGACUUCUACCUCUU
Long non-coding RNA from Lingula anatina, 487 nucleotides. The record is from RefSeq and is a predicted model, not a curated record. NCBI's taxonomy places the organism in Eukaryota, Metazoa, Brachiopoda, Lingulata, Lingulida, Lingulidae.